RNAcentral lists this ribosomal RNA (1289 nucleotides) under uncultured bacterium. RNAcentral's name for it is "bacterial SSU rRNA". It matches the Rfam family "Bacterial small subunit ribosomal RNA", at positions 60 to 1398 of the family's 1533-position model. The record is from RNAcentral.
AGUCGAACGAACCUUCGGGUUAGUGGCGGACGGGUGAGUAACGCGUGAGAAUCUGCCCUCAGGAGGGGGAUAACGGUUGGAAACGACCGCUAAUACCCCACAUGCCGAUAGGUGAAAUGAAUUUCGCCUGAGGAUGAGCUCGCGUCUGAUUAGCUUGUUGGUGAGGUAAUGGCUCACCAAGGCUUCGAUCAGUAGCUGGUCUGAGAGGAUGAUCAGCCACACUGGGACUGAGACACGGCCCAGACUCCUACGGGAGGCAGCAGUGGGGAAUUUUCCGCAAUGGGCGAAAGCCUGACGGAGCAACGCCGCGUGAGGGACGAAGGCCUCUGGGCUGUAAACCUCUUUUCUCAAGGAAGAAGAUAUGACGGUACUUGAGGAAUAAGCCACGGCUAAUUCCGUGCCAGCAGCCGCGGUAAUACGGGAGUGGCAAGCGUUAUCCGGAAUUAUUGGGCGUAAAGCGUCCGCAGGCGGCCUUUCAAGUCUGCUGUUAAAGCGUGGAGCUUAACUCCAUUAUGGCAGUGGAAACUGAUCGGCUUGAGUAUGGUAGGGGCAGAGGGAGUUCCCGGUGUAGCGGUGAAAUGCGUAGAUAUCGGGAAGAACACCAGUGGCGAAGGCGCUCUGCUGGGCCAUUACUGACGCUCAUGGACGAAAGCCAGGGGAGCGAAAGGGAUUAGAUACCCCUGUAGUCCUGGCCGUAAACGAUGAACACUAGGUGUCGGGGGAAUCGACCCCUUCGGUGUCGUAGCUAACGCGUUAAGUGUUCCGCCUGGGGAGUACGCACGCAAGUGUGAAACUCAAAGGAAUUGACGGGGGCCCGCACAAGCGGUGGAGUAUGUGGUUUAAUUCGAUGCAACGCGAAGAACCUUACCAGGGUUUGACAUCCUGAGAACCUCUUAGAAAUUUGAGGGUGCCUUCGGGAAUUCAGUGACAGGUGGUGCAUGGCUGUCGUCAGCUCGUGUCGUGAGAUGUUGGGUUAAGUCCCGCAACGAGCGCAACCCACGUUUUUAGUUGCCAGCAUUUAGUUGGGCACUCUAGAAAGACCGCCGGUGAUAAACCGGAGGAAGGUGUGGAUGACGUCAAGUCAUCAUGCCCCUUACACCCUGGGCUACACACGUACUACAAUGCUACGGACAAAGGGCAGCAAACUCGCGAGAGCUAGCAAAUCCCAUAAACCGUGGCUCAGUUCAGAUCGUAGGCUGCAACUCGCCUACGUGAAGUAGGAAUCGCUAGUAUCGCAGGUCAGCAUACUGCGGUGAAUACGUUCCCGGGCCUUGCACACACCGCCCGUC